GGGCUCACUUCAGCAGCACAUACACUAAAACAAGAAGGAUGCAGGGAAGAUUAGCAUGGCCCCUGAGCAAGGAUGACAUGCAAAUUAAUGAAGUGGUCCAUAAUUUU
Artibeus jamaicensis (Jamaican fruit-eating bat) is the source of this 107-nucleotide small nuclear RNA. The record is from RefSeq and is a predicted model, not a curated record. NCBI's taxonomy places the organism in Eukaryota, Metazoa, Chordata, Mammalia, Chiroptera, Phyllostomidae.